UAGCUUGGUAUCUGGACUUGAGCCUCAUGGUGAAAACCUGUCCAUCCACACAACUUGCACACCUGCCCAAUCCCAGUGUGAGGGUCCUGCAGAAGCACAAGGACCCUGUCACAUAGCCAUGGCUUGUAGGCAUUUUCAGAUGUGGUCCUUGACAGAAGAAGAGCAUAGGAGAGAAUUUAUACAAGGAGAGCCAAGCUAUGCCUAUAAAAUGGAUUUUGACUGAUCAAGCGGAUUGCUCCUGCAUAGAAAAGCUUUGCAGAGUCUACAACAAUCUGCUUCUCUUCCACGUUAAGAGCCUCCUACAGAGUGUUCUCUGUCUCAGAUGCCUCUGUGUCCAAGAAGGCAGAUCUGGAGAAGCAUUUAUGGGCUGAAAAUCCACCUGCUACCUAUGCUAAAGGUCUAAUAAAGGUGUUAUCCAUCUCA
This 423-nucleotide long non-coding RNA is filed under the name Coturnix japonica (Japanese quail). Its description in RNAcentral is "lncRNA (ENSCJPG00005010687.1)". The record is from RNAcentral. Lineage: Eukaryota; Metazoa; Chordata; Aves; Galliformes; Phasianidae.